AACGAACGCUGGCGGCAUGCCUAACACAUGCAAGUCGAACGAGACCUUCGGGUCUAGUGGCGCACGGGUGCGUAACGCGUGGGAACCUGCCCUUAGGUUCGGAAUAACUCCCCGAAAGGGGUGCUAAUACCGGAUAAUGUCUUCGGACCAAAGAUUUAUCGCCUUUGGAUGGGCCCGCGUUGGAUUAGCUAGUUGGUAGGGUAAAAGUCUACCACGGCGACGAUCCAUAGCUGGUCUGAGAGGAUGAUCAGCCACACUGGGACUGAGACACGGCCCAGACUCCUACGGGAGGCAGCAGUGGGGAAUAUUGGAAAAUGGGCGAAAGCCUGAUCCAGCAAUGCCGCGUGAGUGAUGAAGGCCUUAGGGUUGUAAAGCUCUUUUACCCGGGAUGAUAAUGACAGUACCGGGAGAAUAAGCUCCGGCUAACUCCGUG
This 433-nucleotide ribosomal RNA is filed under the name uncultured bacterium. Its description in RNAcentral is "partial 16S ribosomal RNA". It matches the Rfam family "Bacterial small subunit ribosomal RNA", at positions 29 to 507 of the family's 1533-position model. The record is from RNAcentral.